CGGGGUAUAGCGCAGUCUGGCUAGCGCAUCUGCUUUGGGAGCAGAGGGUCGCAGGUUCAAAUCCUGCUACCCCGACCA
This 78-nucleotide transfer RNA is filed under the name Lentisphaerota bacterium. RNAcentral describes it as "Lentisphaerae bacterium tRNA-Pro". It matches the Rfam family "tRNA". From Rfam's summary of the family: Transfer RNA (tRNA) molecules are approximately 80 nucleotides in length. Their secondary structure includes four short double-helical elements and three loops (D, anti-codon, and T loops). Further hydrogen bonds mediate the characteristic L-shaped molecular structure. tRNAs have two regions of fundamental functional importance: the anti-codon, which is responsible for specific mRNA codon recognition, and the 3' end, to which the tRNAs corresponding amino acid is attached (by aminoacyl-tRNA synthetases). tRNAs cope with the degeneracy of the genetic code in two manners: having more than one tRNA (with a specific anti-codon) for a particular amino acid; and 'wobble' base-pairing, i.e. permitting non-standard base-pairing at the 3rd anti-codon position. The record is from RNAcentral. RNAcentral also lists the same sequence under 1 other name. Lineage: Bacteria; Pseudomonadati; Lentisphaerota.